Molecule: ribosomal RNA, 254 nt
Filed under: uncultured bacterium
Lineage: Bacteria
Description: partial 16S ribosomal RNA
Rfam family: Bacterial small subunit ribosomal RNA
Source: RNAcentral
UACGAAGGGGGCUAGCGUUGCUCGGAAUCACUGGGCGUAAAGCGCACGUAGGCGGAUCGUUAAGUCGGAGGUGAAAUCCUGGAGCUCAACUCCAGAACUGCCUUCGAUACUGGCGAUCUUGGAGUCCGGGAGAGGUGAGUGGAACUCCGAGUGUAGAGGUGAAAUUCGUAGAUAUUCGGAAGAACACCAGUGGCGAAGGCGGCUCACUGGCCCGGUACUGACGCUGAGGUGCGAAAGCUAGGGGAGCAAACGGG